GGGUGCAAGCGUUAUCGGAAUUAUGGGCGUAAAGCGUGCGCAGGCGGUUUUGUAAGACAGUGGUGAAAUCCCCGGGCUCAACCUGGGAACUGCCAUUGUGACUGCAAGGCUAGAGUGCGGCAGAGGGGGAUGGAAUUCCGCGUGUAGCAGUGAAAUGCGUAGAUAUGCGGAGGAACACCGAUGGCGAAGGCAAUCCCCUGGCGCCUGCACUGACGCUCAUGCACGAAAGCGUGGGGAGCAAACAGGAUUAGAUACCCUGGUAGUCAAAGGCG
This 272-nucleotide ribosomal RNA is filed under the name uncultured Burkholderiales bacterium. RNAcentral's name for it is "partial 16S ribosomal RNA". It matches the Rfam family "Bacterial small subunit ribosomal RNA", at positions 530 to 802 of the family's 1533-position model. Lineage: Bacteria; Pseudomonadati; Pseudomonadota; Betaproteobacteria; Burkholderiales. The record is from RNAcentral.